This 375-nucleotide ribosomal RNA is filed under the name uncultured bacterium. RNAcentral describes it as "bacterial SSU rRNA". It matches the Rfam family "Bacterial small subunit ribosomal RNA", at positions 524 to 898 of the family's 1533-position model. The record is from RNAcentral.
UACGAAGGGGGCUAGCGUUGUUCGGAAUUACUGGGCGUAAAGGGCGCGUAGGCGGCGUGUCAAGUCAGGCGUGAAAGCCCCGGGCUCAACCUGGGAACCGCGCUUGAGACUGGCAUGCUCGAGUUCGGGAGAGGAUGGUGGAAUUCCCAGUGUAGAGGUGAAAUUCGUAGAUAUUGGGAAGAACACCGAUGGCGAAGGCAGCCAUCUGGACCGACACUGACGCUGAGGCGCGAAAGCGUGGGGAGCAAACAGGAUUAGAUACCCUGGUAGUCCACGCCGUAAACGAUGAGUGCUAGACGUUGGGGCCCUUAGGGCUUCGGUGUCGCAGCUAACGCAUUAAGCACUCCGCCUGGGGAGUACGGCCGCAAGGUUAAA